This 292-nucleotide ribosomal RNA is filed under the name uncultured bacterium. Its description in RNAcentral is "partial 16S ribosomal RNA". It matches the Rfam family "Bacterial small subunit ribosomal RNA", at positions 505 to 796 of the family's 1533-position model. The record is from RNAcentral.
GUGUCAGCAGCCGCGGUAAGACGAACCGAGCGAACGUUGUUCGGAAUCACUGGGCUUAAAGGGCGCGUAGGCGGGGUCAUAAGUCUGUGGUGAAAUCCUCCGGCUCAACCGGAGAACUGCCUCGGAUACUGUGGCUCUCGAGGGUGGUAGGGGUAUGCGGAACUAUCGGUGGAGCGGUGAAAUGCGUUGAUAUCGAUAGGAACUCCGGUGGCGAAGGCGGCAUACUGGACCACUUCUGACGCUGAGGCGCGAAAGCCAGGGGAGCAAACGGGAUUAGAUACCCGGGUAGUCC